RNAcentral lists this long non-coding RNA (11378 nucleotides) under Marmota monax (woodchuck). Lineage: Eukaryota; Metazoa; Chordata; Mammalia; Rodentia; Sciuridae. The record is from RNAcentral.
GGGAGGAGAUGCAGAGGACCGUGACAAGACCUGGCUGUGCACGUGUAGACGCCUACCCUCAUGCACGUCUGCAAAGCACCGACCAAAGCCAAUGAGUAAAUGAGCGGAAGGAAGAAAUCUCUUCCUCCCUGAAUCGAUGGAGGUGCCCAUCACCAAGGAAUGCUCCUUCCUGUCCUCUACUUCCUGUGGGUGGGGGGUGCACCUGGAGACGCUCUUUCUCCAGGUGAGGAUGCUGCCGUGGGCUGCCAGGCCCUGGCUCCUGCGGGCCUCCCCCACCCGAGGACUUGUCUGCACAGGUCCCACUUCCCAGGCCACACGGGCACCAAGGGUGUAUCCUGGAAGGGUGUUGGCCAAGGGACAGGGUGCCAGGCAAGCGGAGCCCUGCUGCCCUGAGGAGCAGCCUGGGGGCAGGAUCCUCUCCUGAAGUGACCACUACUCCCAGCCAGUGGGCGAGCCGAGGGCUCCGUUCUUAGCGGUCUGAGACCUGCCAGCUGUGGGCUGUGGGUAACUGCCACCAGUGUGGGCAGAGGCCUGGGCUCUGAGUCAUGCCUGUUUCCCCUGGAGGUGAGUGGGUGGCCUGACCCUGCAGGUGGAACAGGAUGGGGAACCUUCUUCCCCGAUCUCCUGACUCCUGAGUGGUCGGACACAACUCCAGACGACCUGCCAGAGCCUGUCCGUCCUGGGAAGCCCGGGUGUGCAGGAGGGCUUCCGUAGGCCCCGGCCUCCCACGGCUGGGCCUCCUCUACAGCCGGCCUCCACUACCCUCCCUUCUCCCUCUCUGGCUCUCCGAGAGGCCCUGUUGUGGCCCUUCUCAGUGUCCAUUCACCAGCCCUGGUGGCCCCUCCUCUCAGGCACCCACCCAGCUCCCAGGGCCUCAGGCCCCUUGAAGCCCUUGUCUCCAGCAAACCUGACCUGAGGCCCCAGUCCUUCCAUGCCCAAGGCUCGGUGUCAGGACCCCAGGGCCUCUGCAGGAGGUCCAGUCAGCAGGGAGCCCCAGGAGUCACCAGCCUGACACCCUUCAGGUCCUCAGGGCUAGCAGGUGUGGCGCUGAGCUGGGCGUGCACCCUUGAUGUGGUCACUGGCACUGUGUCCUCUGGGGUCCGUCCUUAAGCUCCAGGAGCAAACCUGUGCCUCCCAGGACAGGAGGGCAGGAUGGAGGAGGGAUGGAGGAGGGACACAGAGGAUAAGUGCAUGCAGGUGUGAACAGCGUCCCCACUGCCACCGGACUAGAGUGACAACGUGAAGCGUCUCUGGAGUCUGCCAAGGAUCCUCUGGAAUUCAAAGUCACCGCAGGUGAGAAGCCCUGGUCUGAGCCAUGCCUCCGUGUCCCUGGAUGCACGCUGUGCCUGAGCCCUCUGUCCCCGGGCUGCAGGUGGUGGCUGUUCUACAUGUGGCCCGGCUACUGUUGCCUCCCAAGCCUAAGCCUGACAAAGGACCGGAGGAGUGACACCUCCCCAGCCACAGCUCCCUGCUCAGAGGGCCCCAUUCUUUCCUGGGGGUGGAGACGCCCCCAGAGGAGCGGAGCGGGCAGGUGCGUGGCCGGCUCAGGGGGGGACAGCAGCCACAGCACAGGUGCUUGGCCAGCCACCCGCACACCGUUUUAGGCCACGCCCUGCCGGUUCAGGGCUGCUGGGCUCAGAGCAGCAACCGCUAGAUAUUUGGGUGGCCAGUCCCUUUCUGAGCAGAAUGCUCGGUGGGGCUUCGGGAGGCAGGGGUCAACGGCUCAUCGGCCUCAGGACACCAGGCCUGCAGCUGUAAGGAUGACCGAGGCGGUCAGCUGCACACCCUGGGACAGGCGUCCUCGAGAGGAAAGGGCACAACCCUGGGCACUCAGGCUGAGGUUCUGCAGGCCUGCAGGGCCCCCCAAGCCCAGCCUGUCACUUGGACCCUAGAAUGGUGACUGCUGUUGUUGCCGUUGCUGGUGGGAAGGGGCGGGGCUGGCUGUGGGCGUGAGGAUGUGCAGGCUGGCACGAGGCGGGGGGCUGGGGAUGCCCAGCUACAGGGGGCAGAGCCUCGGCUGGCCACUGCCUAGGGCUACAGCCAGUGGGGAAACGGGGGGCAGCCAUGGCGCAGGGUAAACCCACGGCCACAUCCUGAAGGGACUCGGACCGACCCCCAUUUGCAGUGGCCUUCCUGUGCUGGCACCGCUGUUUCCUGAGCUCACCCGCGUGUGUCUCCUCCACAGGCCGCACAUCCGGGGCCCCCAGACCAGAACCAGCCUGCUCACAGGGCCAGUUCCCUUUUGGUUUAACGCUGACACGCCUUGUGGGACCUGAGCCUGUUCCUCUGCGAGCACUUUGACUUGUUGACUUUCUGAAAUCAUGAGUAAGUAGGACUGGGCAGGGGCGCAGAUCUGCUCCAAGGGGCCGCCUCAUACCCAGGAGCUCUCACGGUCCCAAGUCACGCAUGCUCAAAGAUGACCUGUGAAGGGAUCAAGUCAUGACUGUCACACAGAGAGAAAAGGAUGGCACGUGUUUGGGGGGAAAUCGGUCAGAUGCUGGCGAGGUCAAGGGAGAAGGAAAAGACACGAGCGUACGUGGAGCAAUGGCCCUUCAGGGAUGGGGUGCCUGCUCACUUUGGGGUCCCCACUGCCCACCACGCCCUCCUGCUCUGUGGCCAUUGUGGCGUGGUGUGCUGCCCUGCCGGGACCUGUCCUGUGCACCUGUGUUCUCUGCAGCCGCCACUGUCCACGAAGUGCCCAUGAUGGGGGCCCCUCCCCCACCCCACCGUGCACCUCCAGCAAAGACCCACAGACUCUGUCCUUGGGGACGGUGGGUCAAGGGUGUGUGGGGUGCAGAGCCCGGCACAGGGCAGGCCUCCCUGGUCUGAUGGAUGGCAACGAGCCGCCCACUUUACAGAGGUCCACAGGGGUGCGGGCUCGGGGGCAACCCCAGGUUUGUAGAGGGCAGAGGUGGGGGCAGCCUGGUGGGGCAGGGAGGGAGGCUGGGGAGGCGUGAUGUGGUGGGGGAGUCACCUGUGGAGCAGGAUGACAUCAGAGGACAGGGCAGCAGCUGGAUCCCACAGCUGUGGGCAGGUACACUGGGCUGGCCCUCCCCCCACUGGGUACCCUCUGUCCUGCUGGGCAGCUGGUGCCCACCUCCUGGUCACUCUGCGGCAAGGCCCAGCCCUCUGCUGUGCUGUUGAGGAGCAGCUGUGUCCCAGGGGCAAGGGUCCUGAGGAGGUCCCCUGAAGGGAGAUGGACCUCAACUCAGGCCAUGAGGGUCCUUGUCGUCAUCGUGACAAGGAAUCUCAGGACAGGUGAAAGCAAGGCCAGGCUGACCUCCCUGAGAGAGGAGGCUCGCUCUGAGACGGUGCAGUGUGGGCAUCGGGCAGCGGAGCUGUGCAGGCCAGGCACGCGGCGUGGUCAGAUCAGCACGGCAGACAGAGGGCGGAGGGGUGUUUCCAGCCCGCCCCUGGGCUGCGACUGGGCAGGCUGACCACAGGGCUGAUUUCCUCAUUGCUGAUGUGUUCUGCUCUGCGCACACGGUCCCUCUGUGCUCCUGGCCGUGAGGCCUCGUGGUUGACUCAGUUGCUCUUUGUGACCAAGCGUGUGCACGUGCCGGGAGGUCUGGGUUGGAGUGUGGCCCCUCUUGGUGGCCCCACAAGCCUCCUCUCCACCCAUCCUUAAGUCCAUCCUCCUGCGGUGCAGCCCUGGGGCCUGCUGCACCUCCUCAAUGGGCAGUGGGCCGUGUCUUGACACUGGCCCAUCCCCCGUGGCCCAGGCUGGAGCCCCUGCCCUCUGCUGGGCACUCAGGUGGUCUCAGGGCUCAGCAGAGUCUGGCUGGGGUCGGCCAUGGCCCCAGGGGCUGGGCAUUCUCUCGGAGCUGGGCUGUAGUGGACUGGGACCUCUGAACCCAGGGAUUUACAGGACACCCAUGUGUGUUCCUUCUUCCCCAACAUCUGCAAGGCCUGCAGGAGCCCCAGACGCCGGGGACGCUGGGGCUCAUUUCCCAGAGAAGCACAUUCCAAGUCUGCACUCUUGACUGUGGCUGAGGGUCAAGCCCUGUGUCCAUGGCUCCCAGCGAAGCAAACAGAAGCGAUCCCUCCCCUCGGCACAGGAUGUCCACCUGGCCAGCACUCGCCAGCCGAAGGUCCUGAGGGCUUUGGCCACCCAUCUCUAAGCAUUCAUUAGGCACCUACUGCAUGCUCCACAGGGAGAGCUAGAGGCAGAUUGUGUAUCAUCCCUCUGGUUCAGAGAAGCCGCUGGGUCCCAGGAUGAGCUGAAGAGUCCCUGCUACCUACCCAGCGCCCACGGCUCCCACGGCCCCACGGCCUCCACUGCCCCCAUGGCCCCUGACCCCCACAGCCCCCGGUCCCCAUGGCCCUAUGGCCCACAAAGCUCCCACGGCCCCACGGCCCCCUCAGCCCCCACGGCCACGGCCCCCAUGGCCCCCAUGUUCCCCCUCAGCCCCCACGGCCCCCACAGCCCCCUCAGCCCCCACGGCCCCCAUGUUCCCCCUCAGCCCCCUCAGCCCCCACGGCCCCCAUGUUCCCCCUCAGCCCCCUCAGCCCCCACGGCCCCCAUGUUCCCCCUCAGCCCCCNNNNNNNNNNNNNNNNNNNNNNNNNNNNNNNNNNNNNNNNNNNNNNNNNNNNNNNNNNNNNNNNNNNNNNNNNNNNNNNNNNNNNNNNNNNNNNNNNNNNNNNNNNNNNNNNNNNNNNNNNNNNNNNNNNNNNNNNNNNNNNNNNNNNNNNNNNNNNNNNNNNNNNNNNNNNNNNNNNNNNNNNNNNNNNNNNNNNNNNNNNNNNNNNNNNNNNNNNNNNNNNNNNNNNNNNNNNNNNNNNNNNNNNNNNNNNNNNNNNNNNNNNNNNNNNNNNNNNNNNNNNNNNNNNNNNNNNNNNNNNNNNNNNNNNNNNNNNNNNNNNNNNNNNNNNNNNNNNNNNNNNNNNAAGCCCCCACAGCCCCCACUGCCCCCAUGUUCCCCCACGGCCCCCCCUUGCGCUGCGUCAUGCUGGAUUCAAUGCAGAUGUGCAGGGGCAGGAGGGCCUGGGAGCAGACGUGCCUACACCCAGGGGAGCGGGCUAUUAGUCACUCUGGUGGAGAGGGGAGGAGGGAGGGCAGGGCAGCCCAGCUGGAGGCGGCCAGGGAUCCAGGGUGGAGCGCAGUGAGGACUUCCAGCCCUGGCAGCUGGACAGCCGUGUCUGUGCCGGCCAAUGCAGAGAGGCACCACCCCUACCUGACGGCCAGUGCUCCUCGCGACACCCCUACCUGAUGUUUCCUGCGGCCUGGAGCCCACACUGUGUUCUGGCCUCCUGAGCUGGCCGCACAGAUGGCUGUGUCCAGCUUGGCCAGAGGGCAAAGGGGCUGGUGGGAGGCCAAGGGACAGGGACACUCUGGGUUCAGGCACACCCCCCCCCACUACCUGGGGUCUUUUCUCCAGACCCCUGCUCUGUCAGGCUCUGCAGGUGGCUACAGAGGUGACAGUCCUGGCCCGGCUCAGGCGGCUGUCACAAGGCAUGGCGACGAGGGUGGUUCUGUACAGAGCUGGGGUCUUCCACACACUGAGGCAGCUCAAGGACCGUCCCCUGCCCCGCCUCAAACCCUGCGUCUUGUGAUCAAGUCAGAAAGAUUUCAGGCUUGUCACUCAGAGUAAUGGGCAUGAGUUUAUCAAAGGGGCAGAAAAGGGCAGCAGGGACACUCUCAAGGGAGAGGGGCUCCUCUCAGAGAGGAGAGGGACAGCGUGCCACUCUUGCACUCCAGUUUUAUUGGGGCAGUCCAGAGAAGUUUCCAGAAAGUCCCACCCAGGUCCACCUCUUGACUUUUGAUUGACAGCAGGAUGACAUCAGACUUUCAAGUCCCCACGGCCAUGACAACCCUAGUCACCUUGUCUCACACUGACCACUAGUAACUGGAUUUCUUUCCUGGGGCGGGGUACUGAGGACUGAACCCAGGGGCACUCGGCCGUAUCCCCAGCCCUAUUUUGUAUUUUAUUUAGAGACAGGGUCUCACUGAGUUGCUAAGUGCCUCACUUUUGCUGAGGCUGGGUCUGAAUUUGUGACCCUCCUACCUCAGCCUCCCGAGCCACUGGGAUUACAGGCGUGCACCACUGUUCCUGGCUCUAAUUGGAUUCUUAACAUAAAUCAUUUCAGAUUUUAUGGUGAGGAAGAAUUAUCCUUAAUAUCCUGAGCUCCUAGAUCUGGUCACAAAAGCCCUUCGGGGUAGGCUUAUCGACAUGAUUUUGCGCCUGCGUUUCUCCAGCAGAUAACAGGUCGUGUGCUGGGGACUGUGUCUCCUCAUGGGUCCACUCCAGCCAGGCAGGGCUGCAGGUAAGUGCUUCUGACAAAGAAGGCUCGUGAGGGUCAGCACGUGGGCCACUCAUAGAAUGAGUCCCUCCCUCCUGCCCCCACCCCGGCGCCUGUCCCCUCGCCGUUCAACACCAGCAACUGUUUCUCCUGGUUCUGUCUGGACGUCCGAGGUCCAGGUGCCGGCAGGUCCGUGUCUGGGGAGGAUUGUGGAUGGCCACUUUCUCCUUGUGCCUUGACACAGCAGAGAGAGGACAGCUCUGGGUCUCCCAUCAGGAUUUCUCCUCGUGACCUCGUCACCUCCUGCAGGCCCACGUCAACACCAGCCCCUGGGGGCAUAGAUGCCCCCGGAUGUGAACUGGGGACGCAGACAUUCGGUCUAUAGUGGCGGGUUCUGAUUCUGAGUUAAAGGAACCCGUGUUGCGAGGCCACCCAGGUUCUAGAAUUGAGGCCUCUCCUGCACCCCAGCAUUAUGUGCCUAAGUCUCAGGGGAUCCUCGUGUGUGGUUACCAGAGAGCAGGCCACCAGUGAGUGCCUGGUGACAUGAGGCAGACGGGGCGAGAGGGAAACUAUGGACCCUGGAAGAAACAGGCGAGUCAUGGUGGACAGUGCUGGCCGCAGCACCCCUGCUGCUUACGGCUCCAGAGGAGAGGCGGCCCCCACCACGCAGCACAGGCCCAAGACAGAGCUGGAGGUUCAAGUGUAGCCACCACUGAAACUCAGGGGACAGUGGGGAGGCAGGGACAAGGGCAUCUGACAGAGAAGACAGGAAGCCAGACAGGCCGAGGCUGGGUGUGUGGCCAGCAGGACCCCAGCCAGAGAACCCAGGCAGGACGGGGCAGAGCGCUGUGGUUUGGGGGGCUUGGGUGUCCCCCAUGGCACCCUGCUGAGAUUCAGUCACCACCGUGAGGUAUCAGGAGGAUGGAAAGGCCACCCGGUGCUGAGCGUGGGGGCUUUGGAGGGAUCAGGAUUAGACAAGGCCACAGGCUGGGGCCCCUAUGACUGGGUCCUGGUGGCUUUAUAAAAUAGGGAGGGAGACCAGAGGACACACACACACACACACACACGACAUGGGAUUCUCUGUGCUGCCUCAGGACUCUGCCAACAGGAAAGCCAUCACCAGAGGCAACCCCUUGACCUUGGACCUCCAGAACCAUGAGCUAAAAUAAACCGUUUUAUAAAACAGCCUGCCUUGGUGGUUUUGUUAUAGUAACACAAGGCUGCCUGACACAGAAACCGAAGUUUCUGAAUUGAAGGGAUGUGAAUUUUCAGGCCAAAAGGUCCAGUUGAAAAGGAGCCACAACCAUGAGUAGUAAUAAUGAAUUAAAAUAUUGUGAAUUUCAGAAAAUGAAGGGGAAAAAAGGGAGACUCUUAAAUAUUUCUGAGGAACAUCUCCCUCAUCCUUGAAAACGAAGUUGUCAUCAGGCUCCCCGCCAUGGGCAGGUGGAGCUGCUGGAGUGGGUGGGCAGCCCCAGCAAUGCCCUCAGAAGGUUUUCUGCUGAGGAUUUCAUCCCCAGCCAAACUGUCCAGCAGGCAUGGAAGUGGAUGGCAGGUGUCCAGGCUCCCGGGGACUGGGAGAGGUGCGCCCUCGUGCCUUCUCCAGGACAUGCUUCAGCAAAAUGAGGAGGCCUCCAAGGAGCUGAGAGGGGUUGGGCCCACAGCAGGCUCUCCAGCUCUCAGGACGAGGGCAGAGAGCCUGGUGGCCCCUUCACCGCUGCAGAGAGCCAGCAGUCCAGAGAACAACAGGAGGGCUCUGGAGAGGGGACCCUCAAUGAGUGAGAAGACAUGUCGGGGUGGAGUUGUGCCCCCGGAGGUCAGCUGAGGUCACAAAUGCCGUGCCUGAGGCUGACUUCCUGGGAGGUGGAGUCUUGCGAAGGCCAUCAGCCUAGGCGCCGUCAUAGGAUCAGGGUGGCCCUGGUCCAACACAGCUGGCGUCCUCAGAAGAGGAGAAGAUAGCCACAGGAGAAGGGCCCCAUGACCCCAAGGCUCCUGGGCAGAAGGGGGCUGUCAGUGGCUCUGAGGGCCUCUGGCUCCUCAGCCGCUCAGGAUGGUGCCGAGUGCCCCAUCAGGCUCAGGGACAUUCCGUGGGCGCUGCUCUGUCUAGGCCUGGCCUGGGAAACUUCCCGCCCGACACCAUGUGGGAGAUGUCAGUCUUUUAUUCCCGGCCAUCACGGAUCAACUUUGUUUUGCUGUGAGAUGCAGCAAGAAUGGUAGCCAUGACCACAGCCACCGCUGACAGCCGCUUCCAAGGGGCUUGCACUGAGAAGGAGCAAGCCCAGAGCAGUGUGCCCACUGACUCCUCCAGCUGAGAGAGGCCUGAGGGGCAUGGGAGGCUGUAUGUGGAGGGGACUGUGACACCCAGGUGCUUCUCGGGGCUCCCUCGGCCUGCACAGACACAUCCUCAAGACUUGGGUUUCCUUUGAGGGGACCCCACAGGCCCCAGUGAUGUGGCGGAAGGCGCCCGGGCCUGCUCCCUGCCUGGUCUCAGGCCCUUCCCGGGGCAGCCAUCACCACGGGGAGGCGGAGGCCGCAGUGCUUGGCGGGGAGGGUUCACUCCACAGCUGCCAGGGCAGCAGAGCCGUGUCGAAACCUCCUCCGCAGGGAGCCAGAGAGGGCUCUUGCCCUCUCAAGUGGCCAAAUAAAUAUGGGCUUCAAAGCUGUGGCUGGGGGCCAUGGCAUCUGCUAAGAUGUGUUUUGCAAGCUGUGGUUUAGUACACAACUUGAAUCAUCAAUCACUCUGGUUCUUAUUUAGCUUUCUAUAAAUGUGGGCUCUUAAGAGAGGCCUGAGAGACCCUUCCAAGGCACACCCCAGUGACAUCCUUCCUCCACUUUGGGCUCGGUCAUCCAUUCAGCCAACAGCGGAUUAAUCCACUGCUGAGGUCAGAGCCUCGUGAUCCCAUCACUACUCCCCCGUCCCCAGCUCGCAUGAGACUCUGGGGACAUUCCAGAUACGACCCAUCACAUUCCAUCCCUGGCCCCAGGGUCUCCUGAUGAUCACACAGUGCAGAAUGUGUCUAGUCCACCCACAGGGUCCCCGCAGUCUCAACAGUCCCUCCACUGCUCAAAAAACCAAGUCCAAGAUCUCCUCGGAGACUCAAGGCAACCUUCUGGCUGUGAGCCCCAGAAUCCAAAGCAAGUUACUUAGAUACAACAUAAAACGGCACGCAGAACAUUCCCAUUCCCAAAGGAAGGAAUAGAGGCAUAGUCAGAAAGGGCGGGGUCAAAACAGACCAAAACUCAGCAGGCAAACACCAAGUCCUGUGGCUCCACGUUGGGCUCCACGACCCUUGGAGGUGGAGUGUGGGUCCCACGGGGCUGGGGAAGCCCUGCCUGUGCGGCUCUCUUGUGCUGGCUCUGCUCACUGCCUGGUUCUCCUCUGCAAACAGUCCGCCUUCCCGGCACCUCUGACUUCUUGGCUUCUCCAUCACAGCCUCAGUUUUCAGCUUCACACAUCACCCUGUCAGGGACUGCCAGCGAGGACCCUGAAACACGGUGUCUGCCCCUUGCGGGCCUUCCUUAAAAUCUCAGUGGAAGCCUUCAUGACCCCCAGACUCCAGCGUCUUGCAGAACCAGACCACAUGGGCGAUGCCAAGGUCUGUCACCAGCUCGAGCAGCAGCCAGGCCCCCUGGGGCCACGGCUGCAGCCGCCUCUGAGUGCCUGGGGAGAUGACUUCCUGGGCAGCACUGGUGCUCUCCCCUCCAAGCAGCGCCUUUCAAACCAGUGGACCCUUUUCUACUUUGGAGCAAGUGGGUGUGGCCUGGAUGUUUGAGUUGCCCUCAGGGCCACUUUCCCACCAUCCCUGUGCCCUGUGCGACGUUCUGGGCUUCUCUUUUAUCUACUCUCCUGAGCACCUGCAUCCUCCUUGGCCCCAACUUUCGAUGCUUUUCUGGCCAAACUGCUAGUUUUUAAGCCUUUUCCCUCUGUUUUCUGCUUCCAGUUCUCAUGGUGAAUCUGGCCCCAAGCUGCCCACAAUAUCUACGCCAACAUCUCAAUGGGUGCUGCCUUGAAAUCUCCUCCGCUGAUGUGUCCAUCACCUUAAAUUCAGCCUCACAGAAAGUCUCAGAACACGGGCAAAAUGGAGAGAAGUUAUUUUCCAGGAUGUAACAAACGGCCUCUGGUCCAAUUCCCAGCAGAGACCUCGUCCCAUGCGAAGGUUCCUGAGCACAGUCUUACUGUCUGCGUUCCUCCUGGCAUUCUGAAUUCUGGGGUCCCGUCACAAUCACCCACUAAGUUCUCCUUACAUUCGAAGGAGAAUCUCCAGCCUGCAUCUCCGACUUUUCCAAACUCCUCCUACAAACCAGUUCCAAAGGCUUCCAAACCACAGCGCCAGGGGUUCACAUAGUCACAACGAUGACCCCACUUCUGGAACCAAUUUUCUGUAUCAGUCAACACUCGGUCACUGUGACCAAGAUACUUGAUGAAAACAACUUAGAGGAGGGAAGAUCGAUUAUGGCUCGUGGCUUCAGAGUUUUGGUCAGAUGACUCCAUUGCUUUGAACCCGACGUGAGGAGCUGGAGGAGCAGACCCGCUCGGCUCGCGGCAGCCGGGAAGGGCAGAAGUGGGGGAGGGCGGAGAAGACGGAACCUCCUAGGGCUUCCCAAGGCUGACUUCUCCAACUAGGUCCCCGCUCCAGGACUCUCCCAGCCAUCAGUGGGCGAAUCCACUGCUGAGGUCAGAGCCCCGUGAUCCAGCCACUUCCCCAAAGCCCCCUCUGCACCCAGGAGACUCUGAGGACAGUCCAGAUCCUAAUCACCCCAGCAGCAGUGUGGCUCCCCUGCUCUGGCCUCUGCUCCUGCCUCACAUCUCGGGCCUUCCUCUGACAGGGACCCGGUGAUGACUUCAGCCCACCAGGAUCACCGAAGCUAAUGUCCCCAUCUCCGUCCCUAAGUCAGUCCCACCGGCUAGGACGUCCCAAGGUGUGGGGCCCAUAUUCACAGGUUCCAGGAUGGAGCCGUGGAUCUCUUUGGGGCCAUGAUUCAGCCCACUACACAUAGAUCUUGUUAACUCAGAUCAAAGUUUUCUAGUGGAAGGUGAAGUAUCUGAGAAUUAAAGAAAAUAAACAACAGCAGAGGUGACCCUGGCAACACAGCCAAGGACCUGGCAGGGGCCCCCUCAGGGCGGAGUGGGUGCAGCCAC